RNAcentral lists this signal recognition particle RNA (97 nucleotides) under Thiothrix sp. RNAcentral's name for it is "signal recognition particle sRNA small type". It matches the Rfam family "Bacterial small signal recognition particle RNA". Rfam says of the family: The signal recognition particle (SRP) is a universally conserved ribonucleoprotein involved in the co-translational targeting of proteins to membranes. Archaeal SRP consists of a 7S RNA and homologues of the eukaryotic SRP19 and SRP54 proteins. Lineage: Bacteria; Pseudomonadati; Pseudomonadota; Gammaproteobacteria; Thiotrichales; Thiotrichaceae. The record is from RNAcentral.
CAUUGGUUCUCUCGCGACGAGAAGCUGUGAAUCCCGCCAGGCCCGGAAGGGAGCAACGGUAACAGUGGAUUCGGGCGCUGGGAUGUGGCUAGUGUGG